RNAcentral lists this ribosomal RNA (468 nucleotides) under uncultured bacterium. Its description in RNAcentral is "partial 16S ribosomal RNA". It matches the Rfam family "Bacterial small subunit ribosomal RNA", at positions 28 to 507 of the family's 1533-position model. The record is from RNAcentral.
GACGAACGCUGGCGGCGUGCUUAACACAUGCAAGUCGAACGGAAAGGCCCUGCUGUUGUUGGUCGCUUGAUUGGCGAACGGGUGAGUAACACGUGAGUAACCUGCCCUUGACUUUGGGAUAACUUCAGGAAACUGGGGCUAAUACCGGAUAUGAUCUCCUGCUGCAUGGUGGGGGUUAGAAAGUGUCGGCGGUUGUGGAUGGACUCGCUGCUUAUCAGCUUGUUGGUGGGGUAGUGACUUACAAGGGCUUUGACGGGUAGCCGGCCUGAGAGGGUGACCGGCCACAUUGGUACUGGGAUAGGGCCCAGCCUCCUACGGGCGGCAGCAGUGGGAAAUAUGGCACAAUGGGGGGAAGCCUGAUGAAGAAACCCCGGGUGCGGAAUAACGGCUUUCGGGUGGAAAACCGCUUUAGCAUGUGCCGAAGCGUGAGUGACGGUACCGGGUAAAGAAGCACCGGCUAACUACGUG